UCCCUGCUGGCUCAGUCCGUAAAGACUCUGCCUGCGAUGCUGGAAACCCAGGUUCAAUCCCUGGGUGGGGAA
Molecule: transfer RNA, 72 nt
Filed under: Capra hircus (goat)
Lineage: Eukaryota; Metazoa; Chordata; Mammalia; Artiodactyla; Bovidae
Also listed under: 1 other name
Rfam family: tRNA
About the family: Transfer RNA (tRNA) molecules are approximately 80 nucleotides in length.
Source: Rfam by way of RNAcentral